CCGAGCUAGGGGUACAAGUCCUGCAGUAUUGCGUUCCUCUGGACCUAAGCAUAGUGCCGAAAGGCCUGCGACGACGCUCGGCGUUAAGGAAGAGAGUAUCGGACGCGAUGUCUUCCUUGACG
RNAcentral lists this non-coding RNA (122 nucleotides) under unclassified sequences. RNAcentral describes it as "Flavobacterium-1 RNA". It matches the Rfam family "Flavobacterium-1 RNA". The record is from Rfam by way of RNAcentral.